GAUGAACGCUGGCGGCGUGCCUAAUACAUGCAAGUCGAGCAACAGAUAAGGAGCUUGCUCCUUUGACGUUAGCGGCGGACGGGUGAGUAACACGUGGAUAACCUACCUAUAAGACUGGGAUAACUUCGGGAAACCGGAGCUAAUACCGGAUAACAUAUUGAACCGCAUGGUUCAAUAGUGAAAGGCGGCUUUGCUGUCACUUAUAGAUGGAUCCGCGCCGUAUUAGCUAGUUGGUAAGGUAACGGCUUACCAAGGCAACGAUACGUAGCCGACCUGAGAGGGUGAUCGGCCACACUGGAACUGAGACACGGUCCAGACUCCUACGGGAGGCAGCAGUAGGGAAUCUUCCGCAAUGGGCGAAAGCCUGACGGAGCAACGCCGCGUGAGUGAUGAAGGUCUUCGGAUCGUAAAACUCUGUUAUCAGGGAAGAACAAAUGUGUAAGUAACUGUGCACAUCUUGACGGACCUGAUCAGAAAGCC
This 480-nucleotide ribosomal RNA is filed under the name Staphylococcus sp. E149. RNAcentral describes it as "bacterial SSU rRNA". It matches the Rfam family "Bacterial small subunit ribosomal RNA", at positions 28 to 492 of the family's 1533-position model. The record is from RNAcentral. Lineage: Bacteria; Bacillati; Bacillota; Bacilli; Caryophanales; Staphylococcaceae.